This 343-nucleotide unclassified non-coding RNA is filed under the name soil metagenome. RNAcentral's name for it is "partial contains 5.8S ribosomal RNA, internal transcribed spacer 2, and large subunit ribosomal RNA". The stretch from base 1 to 120 matches the Rfam family "5.8S ribosomal RNA", at positions 35 to 154 of the family's 154-position model. The record is from RNAcentral.
GAUGAAGAACGUAGCGAAACGCGAUAAGUAAUGUGAAUUGCAGAAUCCAGUGAAUCAUCGAAUCCUUGAACGCACAUUGCGCCCGCCAGCAUUCUGGCGGGCAUGCCUGUUCGAGCGUCAUUUCAACCCUCGACCUCCCCUUGGGGAGGUCGGCGUUGGGGACCGGCAGCACACCGCCGGCCCUGAAAUGGAGUGGCGGCCCGUCCGCGGCGACCUCUGCGCAGUAAUACAGCUCGCACCGGGACCCCGACGCGGCCACGCCGUAAAACACCCAACUUCUGAACGUUGACCUCGAAUCAGGUAGGACUACCCGCUGAACUUAAGCAUAUCAAUAAGCGGAGGA